This 413-nucleotide long non-coding RNA is filed under the name Rattus norvegicus (Norway rat). Its description in RNAcentral is "long non-coding RNA NONRATT026605". Lineage: Eukaryota; Metazoa; Chordata; Mammalia; Rodentia; Muridae. The record is from RNAcentral.
GCUGUUGCUGACACUUCUCAGUGUGACCCAAGUGCUGGUCCAAAGGGAGCCCCGGUGGGGGAUACUAUUGGUGUUCCUGAGACCCAUGCCGAUACGCCAUGACGUUUAAGCCCACUCCUGUGAACUUCUAUCAGGGGAUGGCUGGGAACCAUUCAACAUAGUAAUUCCUAUGAAUAAUUUUGGGUAGUUCGGGUUUAUGAGAAGACUAACAUAUUUGAUGAUACAGAAAGCUCUAAUGAGAAAUAAAAUUAUGGAGACAUUGGGAUACUAUUGAUUUAAAUAUGAUCAUCCUAAAAUACAUUUGAGUACAACUAUUAAAAUCAUUAACAUUUUUAGUCUUUCUUAGGAAUCAUGUCAAAAUCAUGAAAUCUUAGCAGUGUGUUUAGAUAUGAUCAAUAAAGCAUUUUAGCCUU